GUGGGGAAUAUUGGACAAUGGGGGAAACCCUGAUCCAGCCAUGCCGCGUGAAUGAUGAAGGCCUUCGGGUUGUAAAGUUCUUUUGGUGGGGACGAUGAUGACGGUACCCACAGAAUAAGCUCCGGCUAACUUCGUGCCAGCAGCCGCGGUAAUACGAAGGGAGCUAGCGUUGUUCGGAAUUACUGGGCGUAAAGGGCGCGUAGGCGGUUUGACAAGUUGGAUGUGAAAGCCCUGGGCUCAACCCGGGAAUUGCAUUCAAGACUGUCUUACUUGAAUUCGGUAGAGGUGAGUGGAAUUCCCAGUGUAGAGGUGAAAUUCGUAGAGAUUGGGAAGAACACCAGUGGCGAAGGCGGCUCACUGGACCGACAUUGACGCUGAGGCGCGAAAGCGUGGGGAUCAAACAGGAUUAGAUACCCGAGUAGUCC
Molecule: ribosomal RNA, 425 nt
Filed under: uncultured bacterium
Lineage: Bacteria
Description: bacterial SSU rRNA
Rfam family: Bacterial small subunit ribosomal RNA
Source: RNAcentral